RNAcentral lists this ribosomal RNA (445 nucleotides) under uncultured bacterium. RNAcentral's name for it is "bacterial SSU rRNA". It matches the Rfam family "Bacterial small subunit ribosomal RNA", at positions 354 to 796 of the family's 1533-position model. The record is from RNAcentral.
GUGAGGAAUAUUGCGCAAUGGAGGCAACUCUGACGCAGCCAUGCCGCGUGUAGGAAGAAGGCGCUACGCGUUGUAAACUGCUUUUAACCGGGAAGAAACCCCAGGACGUGUCCUGGGUUGACGGUACCGGAGGAAUAAGCACCGGCUAACUUCGUGCCAGCAGCCGCGGUAAUACGAAGGGUGCAAGCGUUAUCCGGAUUCAUUGGGUUUAAAGGGUGCGUAGGCGGAGCGUUAAGUCAGUGGUGAAAUCCUGCAGCUUAACUGUAGACUUGCCAUUGAUACUGGCGCUCUUGAGUGCGCUUGAAGUGGGCGGAAUGUGCCGUGUAGCGGUGAAAUGCUUAGAUAUGGCACAGAACACCAAUUGCGAAGGCAGCUCACUAAGGCGAUACUGACGCUGAGGCACGAAAGCGUGGGGAUCGAACAGGAUUAGAUACCCGGGUAGUCC